This 234-nucleotide long non-coding RNA is filed under the name Elaeis guineensis (African oil palm). Its description in RNAcentral is "long non-coding RNA (EGUI_LNC029322)". The record is from RNAcentral. Lineage: Eukaryota; Viridiplantae; Streptophyta; Magnoliopsida; Arecales; Arecaceae.
AUAUAAUUUUUUGUAAUUGAUACAUCAUGCCGCACCACUCUAAUGUUCACAAUCUCUUGAUAUGACAAAUAUAGAAAAAUAGGUGAUCUAUAGGUGAAAAAGCAAGUGCCUAAUCCCUUUAUAAUGGCCUUAAUUAUAUUUCAUCCUAAUAUCAAUAUAUAUGAAUUUAAAUUUAAACAACAAAAUAAAAGAAAAUUGCACACAUUCACAUCACAUUCCACUACCAUACCACAU